CCAGCCACACUGGGACUGAGACACGGCCCAGACACCUACGGGUGGCAGCAGUCGAGAAUUUUUCUCAAUGGGGGAAACCCUGAAGGAGCGACGCCGCGUGGAGGACGAAGGUCUUCGGAUCGUAAACUCCUGUCAUCCGGGAACAAGAAAGUGAUAGUACCGGAAGAGGAAGGGACGGCUAACUCUGUGCCAGCAGCCGCGGUAAUACAGAGGUCCCAAGCGUUGUUCGGAUUUAUUGGGCGUAAAGGGUGCGUAGGCGGUCGGGUAAGUCAUGUGUGAAAUCUCGGAGCUCAACUUCGAAACUGCACGCGAUACUGCUUGGCUUGAGGAGUGGAGAGGAGACUGGAAUUCUCGGUGUAGCAGUGAAAUGCGUAGAUAUCGAGAGGAACACCCGUGGCGAAGGCGGGUCUCUGGACACUUCCUGACGCUGAGGCACGAAGGCUAGGGGAGCGAACGGGAUUAGAUACCCCGGUAGUCCUAGCAGUAAACGGUGCGCGUUUGGUAUGGGGGGACUAGACCCCCUCCGUGCCGGAGCUAACGCGUUAAACGCGCCGCCUGGGAAGUACGGCCGCAAGGCUAAAACUCAAAGAAAUUGACGGGGGCCCGCACAAGCGGUGGAGUAUGUGGCUUAAUUCGAUGCAACGCGAAGAACCUUACCCAGGCUUGACAUGCAUUGUGUCCCGGAUGAAAGUCCGGUAGCGUAGCAAUACGCGCUUUGCACAGGUGCUGCAUGGCUGUCGUCAGCUCGUGUCGUGAGAUGUUGGGUUAAGUCCCGCAACGAGCGCAACCCUUGUGUCCUGUUGCCACCCUCUUAGGAGGAGCACUCUGGACAGACUGCCUGGUCAAGCCAGGAGGAAGGUGGGGACGACGUCAAGUCUGUAUGGCCCUUACGCCUGGGGCUGCACACGUACUACAAUGCCUGGUACAAUGGGAACCGAUAUCGCAAGGUGGAGGAAAUCCACAAAACCAGGCCCAGUUCGGAUUGGAGGCUGCAACUCGCCUCCAUGAAGCCGGAAUCGCUAGUAAUGGCGCAUCAGCUACGGCGCCGUGAAUACGUUCCCGGGCCUUGUACACACCGCCCGUCACAUCAUGGAAGUCGCUUGUACCCGAAGUGCCUGCGCCAACCGCAAGGAGGCAGCGCCCUAAGGUAUGAGUGGUAACUGGGAUGAAGUCGAAACAAGGUAGCCGUAGGGGAACCUGCGGCUG
This 1206-nucleotide ribosomal RNA is filed under the name metagenome. RNAcentral describes it as "bacterial SSU rRNA". It matches the Rfam family "Bacterial small subunit ribosomal RNA", at positions 304 to 1520 of the family's 1533-position model. The record is from RNAcentral.